GCCUGAGUGGCACAGCGGUUGAGCGUCUGCCUUCGGCUCAGGGCGUGAUCCUGGCGUUGUGGGAUCGAGCCCCACAUCAGGCU
Molecule: transfer RNA, 83 nt
Filed under: Ailuropoda melanoleuca (giant panda)
Lineage: Eukaryota; Metazoa; Chordata; Mammalia; Carnivora; Ursidae
Rfam family: tRNA
About the family: Transfer RNA (tRNA) molecules are approximately 80 nucleotides in length. Their secondary structure includes four short double-helical elements and three loops (D, anti-codon, and T loops).
Source: Rfam by way of RNAcentral